CCUACGGGAGGCAGCAGUAGGGAAUCUUCCACAAUGGGCGAAAGCCUGAUGGAGCAACGCCGCGUGGAUGAAGAAGGUCUUCGGAUCGUAAAGCGCUGUUGUUAGAGAAGAAAAUGCGUGAGAGUAACUGUUCACGUAUCGACGGUAUCUAGCCAGAAAGCCACGGCUAACUACGUGCCAGCAGCCGCGGUAAUACGUAGGUGGCAAGCGUUAUCCGGAAUUAUUUGGCGUAAAGGGUACGCAGGCGGUUUUUUAAGUCUGAUGGGAAAGCCUUGGGCUUAACCUGUGGAGUGCAUUGGAAACUGGGAGACUUGAGUGAAGUAGAGGAGAGCGGAAUUCCAUGGGUAGCGGUGAAAUGCGUAGAUAUAUGGAAGAACACCAGUGGCGAAGGCGGCUUACUGGGUUGAAACUGACGCUGAGGUGCGAAAGCGUGGGGAGCAAACAGGAUUAGAUACCCGAGUAGUC
Molecule: ribosomal RNA, 465 nt
Filed under: uncultured bacterium
Lineage: Bacteria
Description: partial 16S ribosomal RNA
Rfam family: Bacterial small subunit ribosomal RNA
Source: RNAcentral